Equus caballus (horse) is the source of this 3391-nucleotide long non-coding RNA. NCBI's taxonomy places the organism in Eukaryota, Metazoa, Chordata, Mammalia, Perissodactyla, Equidae. The record is from Ensembl.
GGUGCCACCCAAGUGGACUCCUGCUGCAAGGAAUUUGAGGACGUCCUCCCCCUUCAUCUGUAGGACAUCCAGGGCUCCAGACAUUGUGAAACCUUCAAGUUAUUAUGGGAACCCAGGACAACACCAUAUGGACCCCCUCUGAGUUGUAUAGAGUGGUACACCCAAAGUUUGGUUGCUAGAGUGCUCACUCUUCUGUGGCUGGAAAUCCUGAAAUGUAAAAUGUUGAGGGAGUUAUUAUGCUGAGUAAAACACCCAGGCGCGGGAGAUCAUGUGCGUAAGACCUCGAAUUUCUUUCUGGCUCUCAGUGUGGGAGUCAUGGUUGUUUCCCUUGCGUCAUCCUCCACAUGUGGCUUUUCAUCUUACAUUCUGGCCUUGCUCCAGGACCUGGGGAAGGUCACCCCCAGAAUGGCUGGGCAGGGAGGAGCUCGCUUAACAGUGUGGCCCUAAUGGCAUUCUUUAGUGCUCCACCUCGGUGGGGCAAAAGCAAGAGUGGGAAUUCCAGAGAGGCCUCAACUUAAAGGUUUGGUCUGAGAGCACAGCUAGAGGGAUUUCUGCCCUGAGCUGCUGUAACCAGGAGUGAGUGAGCUUCUGUCAUUUCCCCACCGAAUAAAAAAUGGAAUUUAUGAUGAAUGGUUGUUAAAUAGAGUGAUCUGGACUUAUUCUUUCCAGCCUAGUGAGACCCAUCCCAACCUUUUACAGUUUCUUUAAAGACAGCAUGAGAAACCUCAGUGUCCUCUGGAGGUUUUUGUAAAUGGAUGCCAGCCCAGCCUUUAUUAAACUGGGUUUAUACAUCACAUAAUUGCCUGUCUGGACGCCCCUCUUCCAGACUGCCUGAGCAAGGACAGGGUUUAUCGAGGGCUUUCUUCUGCUGCACAUGCUGCCCUCUGGUCAUGUUUUGGUUCUUGUGGCUUCAACUUCAUCUUUUUCUAUGUUAUCCCUGAGUUUCUUAAAGUUUCUCCCUUUCUCAGUCUGUUUCUUUUCAUCUGUGUAGAUUAUGUCUACUGAUGUUGAUAAUCACUUCGACUCAACUGGAAGUGCUGCAGCAAGGCUUCCUGAAAACCUGUUCCGCAUAAAGCACGCUGGAGCUGUUCUCUUCAACAUGGAGUCUUAGAGCUGCAGCAUCCAGCAUGGUAGCCGUUAUCCGUAUGCGGCUGCUUAAAUUUAAAUUAAUUAAAAUUAAAUAUUCAAGCGCUCUGUAGCUACAUGUGGCUAGUGGCUACUGUGUUCGCACAGACGUAGAAUGUUUCCGUGGCCAUGGAAAGUUCAUUGGAUGGUGCUGUUACAGAGUUUCAGUUGUUUAGAACUCUAACUCACCACUUGUCUUUCAUUUAUAAGAUAGUCAAAAACUCAUAUCUUUCGAUGAGAACCUUUUUUUUUAGCAAUUCAAAUCACAUUUAUUGAAUUUGACUGUUAGGUACUUUAGGAAAUGCAAGGACAAAUAAAAUAUGUUUCUUGUCCUCAAGGAACUUAAAAUAUAUUAAGGAAAACCGGCACGUAACACAGCUAAUGAGAUUGCAAGGCAGGAUGUGCAAAGUGAUGUCACAGAGGGUGUGACCUGGGAAUGGUCUUAACUUGCAAACAACAGAGUCUCCAAGUAAUGGCUGAAUUUAGUGGCUGAAAUAGAAAAUAAUUUCCCUUUCAGUUAAGAAUCUGGAGGUAGGCAAUCCAGAGCUGUUAUGGUGGCUCCAUUCCACCAAGUCCUCAGGGCCCAGUUCCUUCUCGCUUCUGCUUCGUCAUCCCUGUGGUGUGGCCCUUGUCGUCAUAGUCCAGGAUGGCACCUCGGUCGUGACAUUCGUGUCCCAGUCGGCAGGAUGAGGCGUGCAUCCACUGUCUCUUUAGGUUCCCAGAAGCUGCCUCCGGACAUUUGCACCGGCAUCCUAUUCACUUGAAUUUGGUCACUUGGCCACACCUAGCUGCAGGGAAACAUAAUCUUUUUUUCUGGGUGGCCCUCUUUCCAGCUAAACUUUCUUUUAGUAACAGAAGAAGGGGGAAACAGACGUUGGAGGAAGCUAACAGUCUCUUACCAAGAGAGAUAAGACGGAAGCCAGAUUACAGAGGUCUUCAAGGCGGUCCACGGAAUUGGUACCUUGCUGCUCGGCUCUGUGGAGCAGUUGAUAGUCUCAGUGUAGGGAGUUCAUACGACUGGAGGCUGUUCGUGGUGAUGGGCUCUGCCGUGGUUCCUCAAACCAGCAAUACUCGCGUACUUUCAAGAGCAGCUACUUUCAAUUAAAACAAAAAUGCCCCCCUCCCAUCUUCCAACAUCCUUUGCCACUCUCCCUCCUCUUUACAGAAGGGAAGAGGCAGCUGAGGGGAGGCAGUGUGCGAAGGCAGCCCUUCCACCUGGCGGCUCUCCCUUGGACCUCCUCCAGUGGCCCCCUGGCCCUCUCGAAAUGUGCCGAGAAGAGAAAUCAUCCCCUCGGAGAGCUCUUCCUAUUAGGUGAUCCUCAGAAUUUCUUUGGCAAAUUUUUGACCAUCUGAUGGCUGGCUUGUGAGAUUAUUCCAGGUUUUUAGCUCUAGAAAAACAAAUUACAAAGAAAUGUCAACAUAAAAGACUGCAGCUAAACAUAAAAAUUUGAGUGCUCAGGAUCAGAAAUAAUAAGAUGACUGCUUUGAAAUGAGAAGAGACCCAUGAGGGGAAAAGUGGCUGUGACUGCGGACGGCGAAAAUAUAAAGGGACCACCGGAUGUGGACUGUUUCUACUGUGGGCGUGCUUCAUUGCCAUGGCGCUUGUGACAAUGACAGAGUUGCUGACGAGCCUGGAGUGGACUGAUUUGAGCUGGUUCUUGGCCCAUUCAUCAUUUGUUUAACAGGUGUUUGUGAAGCACCUGCUCUGUGUGGAACACUGCACACAGUUGGCUGCCGGCUCAGCUACAAAGCAGAGAGCGACAGGGUGAGCGUCCCAGUGUCGCAAGGCCUCGAGGCAUGGCUGGAGGGACCUCGGAGUCAAUCUCUGGCCUCUCUUCUGAGGGCUAAUUAUGGCAUUUGUUCCACUGGGACCUGGAUGGAAACCACGAAACGAAUGUCAGCAAGACUUCAACGUUUCUUUCAGCCUCCAUGAAGACUGGAUUUGAAUGAAAUCUUCUAGAUUUAAAUUUGUUGCCAUGGAAUUAGCAUCCGAGGCCUUUAUAUACUUUUUGCUUCUUGGGGAAAGAAACAUAAGCUAAUCUGGCUGGUGUACAGCUACAGAGGGAUGGCUCUUUGGGUCUUGGGAACACGGUUGUUUCCUCCAGGACACUGGAACUGUUGCUAGGUCUGUGAUGGGAUUAAAAACUUCUAUUCCUGGAGAGGAGAGACCACCUCACUGUGCCACAUUGUUGUAAAAAGAACAAGCCCUUUGGGAGGGAUCUGUUGUACACAAUUGAAAUAAAGUUAAUAAGGCCUUGACUUCUUA